UGGGACGGGAUCUCAAUCCCUUUACUGCACCUAUUCCCUCCAUCAUGAAUUUCCUCACCUCCCUAUUCACAGCCGGAAAAUCAUACCGAUCUAUCAAUGUGAUAUGUUCAGCCAUUUCAGCGGCCCACACGCCGACUCAAGGGACACCUGUUGGUCAGGACCCACUCAUCUGUAGACUCCUCCGCGGCAUGCACCUUCGGCGCCCCCCGGAACCCAAAUACUCAAGACUUUGGGACGUUGGCAUUGUCUUACAGUUUUUACGGGACUGGCCUCCUAA
This is a non-coding RNA of Pelobates cultripes (western spadefoot toad), 277 nucleotides long. NCBI's taxonomy places the organism in Eukaryota, Metazoa, Chordata, Amphibia, Anura, Pelobatidae. The record is from the annotation of a GenBank genome assembly.